RNAcentral lists this ribosomal RNA (495 nucleotides) under uncultured bacterium. RNAcentral describes it as "partial 16S ribosomal RNA". It matches the Rfam family "Bacterial small subunit ribosomal RNA", at positions 30 to 507 of the family's 1533-position model. The record is from RNAcentral.
UGAACGCUGGCGGCGUGCCUAAUACAUGCAAGUCGCGCGAACAGACGCGGAGCUUGCUCCUCUGACGUUAGCGGCGGACGGGUGAGUAACACGUGGAUAACCUACCUAUAAGACUGGGAUAACUUCGGGAAACCGGAGCUAAUACCGGAUAAUAUAUUGAACCGCAUGGUUCGAUAGUGAAAGACGGUUUUGCUGUCACUUAUAGAUGGAUCCGCGCCGCAUUAGCUAGUUGGUAAGGUAACGGCUUACCAAGGCAACGAUGCGUAGCCGACCUGAGAGGGUGAUCGGCCACACUGGAACGUAGACACGGUCCAGACUCCUACGGGAGGCAGCAGUAGGGAAUCUUCCGCAAUGGGCGAAAGCCUGACGGAGCAACGCCGCGUGAGUGAUGAAGGUCUUCGGAUCGUAAAACUCUGUUAUUAGGGAAGAACAAAUGUGUAAGUAACUAUGCACGUCUUGACGGUACCUAAUCAGAAAGCCACGGCUAACUACGUG